UACAUUUUAGUAUAAGAGGUACAGGAGCCUUUGAAGUUCCAGGAGGUAGUCUAAUUCUAUCAAGUGUAA
RNAcentral lists this transfer RNA (69 nucleotides) under Prosopocoilus astacoides blanchardi. RNAcentral describes it as "tRNA-Gln". Lineage: Eukaryota; Metazoa; Arthropoda; Insecta; Coleoptera; Lucanidae. RNAcentral also lists the same sequence under 1 other name. The record is from RNAcentral.